Molecule: ribosomal RNA, 460 nt
Filed under: uncultured bacterium
Lineage: Bacteria
Description: partial 16S ribosomal RNA
Rfam family: Bacterial small subunit ribosomal RNA
Source: RNAcentral
CCUACGUGAGGCAGCAGUGAGGAAUAUUGGUCAAUGGGCGCGAGCCUGAACCAGCCAAGUAGCGUGAAGGAUGACUGCCCUACGGGUUGUAAACUUCUUUUAUAAAGGAAUAAAGUGAGGCACGUGUGCCUUUUUGUAUGUACUUUAUGAAUAAGGAUCGGCUAACUCCGUGCCAGCAGCCGCGGUAAUACUGAGGAUCCGAGCGUUAUCCGGAUUUAUUGGGUUUAAAGGGAGCGUAGAUGGGUUGUUAAGUCAGUUGUGAAAGUUUGCGGCUCAACCGUAAAAUUGCAAUUGAUACUGGCAGUCUUGAGUACAGUUGAGGUAGGCGGAAUUCGUGGUGUAGCGGUGAAAUGCUUAGAUAUCACGAAGAACUCCGAUUGCGAAGGCAGCUUACUAAACUGCCACUGACAUUGAUGCUCGAAAGUGUGGGUAUCAAACAGGAUUAGAUACCCUAGUAGUC